GGACUACCGGGGUAUCUAAUCCUGUUUGCUCCCCUAGCUUUCGCGCCUCAGCGUCAGUUAUGGUCCAGUGCGCCGCUUUCGCCACAGGUGUUCCUUCCGAUAUCUACGCAUUUCACCGCUACACCGGAAAUUCCACGCACCUCUCCCAUACUCAAGCCCGGCAGUUUCUCAUGCAGACUUCGAGUUGAGCCCGAAGAUUUCACAUAAGACUUGCCAAACCGCCUACGCGCCCUUUACGCCCAAUAAUUCCGAACAACGCUUGCCCCCCUCGUAUUACCGCGGCUGCUGGCAC
RNAcentral lists this ribosomal RNA (292 nucleotides) under uncultured Acidobacteriota bacterium. Its description in RNAcentral is "uncultured Acidobacteria bacterium partial 16S ribosomal RNA". Lineage: Bacteria; Pseudomonadati; Acidobacteriota. The record is from RNAcentral.